This 73-nucleotide transfer RNA is filed under the name Lactiplantibacillus plantarum. RNAcentral describes it as "tRNA-Thr". It matches the Rfam family "tRNA". From Rfam's summary of the family: Transfer RNA (tRNA) molecules are approximately 80 nucleotides in length. The record is from RNAcentral. Lineage: Bacteria; Bacillati; Bacillota; Bacilli; Lactobacillales; Lactobacillaceae. RNAcentral also lists the same sequence under 9 other names.
GCCGUCUUAGCUCAGCAGGUAGAGCGCAUCCAUGGUAAGGAUGAGGUCGUCGGUUCGAAUCCGAUAGACGGCU